This 313-nucleotide ribosomal RNA is filed under the name uncultured bacterium. RNAcentral's name for it is "bacterial SSU rRNA". It matches the Rfam family "Bacterial small subunit ribosomal RNA", at positions 28 to 334 of the family's 1533-position model. The record is from RNAcentral.
GAUGAACGCUGGCGGUGUGGAUAAGGCAUGCAAGUCGAACGAACCUUCGUAAAAUCGAUCCCUUCGGGGUGAAGUUUUACAUUCAGGUUAGUGGCGAACGGGGUAGUAACGCGUAGGGAACGUACCGAGAAGUCAGGAAUAGCCCAUCGAAAGGUGGAUUAAUACCUGAUAGACCCUCCGGGGUAAAGAUUUAUCGCUUCUUGAUCGGCCUGCGUAGUAUCAGCUUGUUGGUAGUGUAAUGGACUACCAAGGCUAUGACGCUUAGGGGAGGUGAGAGCCUGACCCCCACCAUUGGAACUGCGACACGGUCCAA